Molecule: ribosomal RNA, 253 nt
Filed under: uncultured bacterium
Lineage: Bacteria
Description: partial 16S ribosomal RNA
Rfam family: Bacterial small subunit ribosomal RNA
Source: RNAcentral
UACGUAGGGGGCAAGCGUUGUCCGGAUUUAUUGGGCGUAAAGAGCGUGUAGGCGGCCAAGCAGGUCCGCUGUGAAAACUCGAGGCUCAACCUCGAGACGUCGGUGGAAACCGUUUGGCUAGAGUCCGGAAGAGGAGAGUGGAAUUCCCGGUGUAGCGGUGAAAUGCGCAGAUAUCGGGAGGAACACCUGUGGCGAAAGCGGCUCACUGGACCAUAACUGACGCUGAUGCACGAAAGCUGGGGGAGCAAACAGG